AGUUUUCAUAAUUUUCUGACACUGUGCAUUUUCUGCUAAUUUAUCUGCCCCAUUCCUCACAGAAAAUUCUAAAUCUUCGGUUUUCGCUCCGAUUUCAGCAAAGGUCAUUUCCAACUUAUACUUUACUUCUAUGAGUCCAAUAAAAUAGUAUCUCACACUAUUUUUAUUUAUAUUUAUUUUUAUAAUAAACUCCGACAUACUAUCCUACCGUAACUUCCUAUUUUCAGAAGUUCGGUAUCCUACAGAUUCGUUCCAAAUUUACACUCUCGGGGCAUAAUAGAACAAUAUAAUUAGAUUUUACUCUUUGUUCGAAGAACGAGAAAAAGCACUCGUUGCAAAUUUAUACUGUUAGGGCGCAACAGAGUAGUCUAUUGUUGUUCCGGUUUUGGUUCUUGUGAAUGUUGACAUCGAUUCGUUCCAAAUUUACACUCUCGGGGCAUAAUAGAAUAAUAUAAAAAGGCUUUACUCUUUGUUCGAUUGAAUGCGAAAAAGCACUCAUUGCAAAUUUAUACUGUUAGGGCGCAACAACGUAGUCUAUUGUUGUUCCGGUUUUGGUUCUUGUUAUGGUUGACAUCGAGUCGUUCGAAAUUUACACUCUCGGGGCAUAAUAGAACAAUAUAAUUAUGUUUUACUCUUUAUUCGAUAGAAUGCGAAAAAGUACUCGUUGCAAAGUUAUACUGUUAGGGCGCAACUCAGUAGUCAAUUGUUGUUCCGGUUUUGGUUCUUGUGAAUGUUCACAUCGAUUCGUUCCAAAUUUACACUCUCGGGGCAUAAUAGAAUAAUAUAAAUAGCUUUUAUACUUUGUUCGAUUGAAUGAGAAAAAGUACUCGUUGCAAAGUUAUAUUGUUAGGGCGCAACUUAGUUGUCUAAUGUUGUUCCGGUUUUGGCUCUUGCGAACGUUGACAUCGAUUAGUUCCAAAUUUAC
RNAcentral lists this long non-coding RNA (925 nucleotides) under Ananas comosus (pineapple). RNAcentral describes it as "long non-coding RNA (ACOM_LNC003580)". The record is from RNAcentral. Lineage: Eukaryota; Viridiplantae; Streptophyta; Magnoliopsida; Poales; Bromeliaceae.